UUUUUAUGGAGAGUUUGAUCCUGGCUCAGAGUGAACGCUGGCGGCGUGCCUAAUACAUGCAAGUCGAACGAUGAAGCUUUUAGCUUGCUAGAAGUGGAUUAGUGGCGCACGGGUGAGUAAGGUAUAGUUAAUCUGCCCUACACAAGAGGACAACAGUUGGAAACGACUGCUAAUACUCUAUACUCCUGCUUAACACAAGUUGAGUAGGGAAAGUUUUUCGGUGUAGGAUGAGACUAUAUAGUAUCAGCUAGUUGGUAAG
Molecule: ribosomal RNA, 259 nt
Filed under: Campylobacter jejuni
Lineage: Bacteria; Pseudomonadati; Campylobacterota; Epsilonproteobacteria; Campylobacterales; Campylobacteraceae
Description: partial 16S ribosomal RNA
Rfam family: Bacterial small subunit ribosomal RNA
Source: RNAcentral